UACAGAGCCUAAAAUCAUUAAUUUAUUGCUAAAAAAAAAUAUGCUUCUAACCCAUAACUCAUACCUUCAGCUAUGGCGAACCUCUAAAACAAACUCGACCACAAUCAAAGGGAAUAAUCGAUCUUGACGAGUACCACUACGUUCACGUGGAAGGUUUGAAAGAAAAAUGCAAGUUCUCGUACGAUUUCACUCCCGCAAGGAACUAAUCGCACUAAUUUUUCUGUGAAUGCUCGGCAUUCCUAACCACCUGGCGUGCUAUUCUCUUUCCGCUAAGAUAAAGAGAGCCUCGGCAUUCAACUUCGUGCAUUAACGUCAGAAGCAGGCGAGGCAAUCCGUUUGCAUUUCGCACAUAGGCGUCGCUGCACGUUCGAUGCUCGUGGCUGCUGCUGUUGGCCUCUCAAGAAAAAAGAACUAAGAGUGGUGGAAAGAGGGAAGAACAAGGUGGAUAUCUGGUCGCGGGUAAGUCGGAAAAUCGAUCCUCGCCAACCAGUCGGUCGUUUCGCGUCUCUUGGUGACUGUUUCAGAGCCACGGUGAAAUAUGGCAUUAACGUUCUGCUCCAUUGAGGAUCGCGUACUGUUUUUCCACCCUCUGUUCUCUUUUUUCUUCCAUUUUUUGUUCUCCCUCGAACUGCCACAUUCGGUCCAGCGUCGAGAGAUCAAUUUUUCUCGUGUAACCGGUGUAACUGGUGGCGGACCACCGCUGCGCCGGACAUUUCGGUGUUAUUGAUCAAAAAGUGCCGGUGUAACGCGACCGUAACAACAGGCAAACCCAACUAAUAUCGUUUCGAAACCUCAUGGAAGGAGCUGCCACACGGUUGUCUUCUUUUUUUCUGUACCUCUUCAGUCCGUUUGUUGAACGUAUUGUCGCGGUCGGGCGGAAACCAUCAUCUCCACACAUAGAACAUUGUUAUUUUUUCACGAUGAUAAGGUCGAUCCUUUUUUUAGAAAAAUUACAUAACAACAUUUUUAACAACAGUUUUAGAAUAGAGCGAAAUGUUGAGCAUUAUAUCUAUGCAUGACAAAACAUACGGAAUUUGUUUAUGUUGAAAACAUCUGAACUCUUGACGUAUCAGUAAAUUUACAACAUGCAUACCAAUAUAGGAAAUUCAAAUAUCGACGUGAAAGUGGAAAAUAUCUGAGGACUUGCGAUAUUGAUUACUGCGGAGGAUCAAUAGCCAUUAUGAUGCGGUGGUUGAUGGUCGUUGACAGUGAGUCAUAAGGGAUUUACGAGGCGGUAUAAACUACAGAACUUCUGUGCCUCGUACUACGAAAAGCAAGGAGAGGAAGAGGGAUAAAGCUCGCGACUGCUAGAUUGUAAUCUUCGUCCAUAAACGGCACUUUAUCACCAACUGCCUAUUAUAUCUUCUAACUUUUUGGACUAACGGAACAAAAUGUUCUUCAUGAUUUCCUUCGUCUGCUAAUAAUUUCUUAAAAAUUUACCAAGGAAUUUAAUUAGCAAUUAACUAUUAACUAAACAUUCGCGUCCUUAUACAAUGAAUCAUUUUAAGUAUGAUAUUCACCGUGAUUUUUAUACUUUUAAGUUAAAUAAAUUAUCAUAAUCAAUCAAUUUCUCCUUUGCAAAAUAAAUUAAUUUUCUUGACGGAGACACAAUAGGUGUACAAUCCUACGAUAUUUCACUUAUAAUCGUAUAAUGGAAACCGCAGCUUUGUACGAUGAGACGCGAAAUUUUUGUCUGUUAAGUUAGUCAUUUGGCGAACUUUGUUCCCUGGAGUUCUGGCAUUCGCUUUUAGCGAGUCGACUACUCUUUGCGAACGUUCAUCCCCCUCUGUGCAGCUUCGUUUACUGCCCUUAGCAGUACACUUAGACGCUGCAAUAUAGUCUUGUGUGUUUAACUAUCUUUAGCCGUUACUGUUCCAAGUUUUCAAAUGAAACGCGAGCUUCGAUGGAGUGGAAGACAGUGUUCGCGAAAUUUCCACGCUUCCGACGAACGACAUUUACAGAACCCUCUACGCGAACCCGUGGUUUCUUGAUUAGACAUUUAAACCGAUAACGAGGUGAGCGUUGAGUAAAGAAGAAAUUUUCCCCAUUCUAGCAAGUAGCAUACAAGACGGAUCGAAUGUGUAUCGAGCAAACUCGGAUUUUAAUUAAAUCCAGCAGUAAACGUAAACUUCAACGAGUUAGUUGGUCUAUUAUCUGGCGUCGCAGCGUGUUUCACAUUUGCAACGCAGUGAUAUUCGUUUAUUCACACAGUCAAAUGUUAUUUCAACCCUUUAGAACGCUGUAUCGCUGCUUUGCUUUAAAAUAGUGGCACAUCCCAACAAAUUUCAAAUUUGCUUUUAUCGAAUAGAAGGUCGAGAGUUAUGUUUCUGUUUUUAGUAUGUAAAACGGUAUAUUUAUUAUUUCAUCAGUUUUGCGUUGGAAGGAAAACUUACUCUUAUGCCGUUAUCAACCUGCCCUUAGCUUAACAGCACUGGCUGAUCUUCAGUUGUUUUCGUGACGCUACAAGUGGAAGGUCGUACUGCUUUUUCGAAAAGUGGCGUAUCUUGUGUUAAGACAGCCUUAUAAUGUCGUUGUAACGACUCGUCAAGAUUUCUUUGUAAAUUUGGAAACGCCUCUCCUUUAGAGUUUACAUUUUUUGAGCUGUGCCAUUAUGAAAGCAAAUCAGCGAUAUAACAUGAAAGUUACAAGGUGAGAAAUUGCGUUUAAUUAUAAUUUCUAUUCUUACAAGCAAAUAGAAUUCUGGUUAAUACUUGUCGUGUCAGCAUACAAGCAAUUUAGAAGGAAACAAUACAGAAUAAUAGGAUAAUAUAUAUCUCUGGGGGGUAGUAAAAAUUGUAAUAAAACUGUUUCGCAAAUUCUCGGUUAAUUGUAAUGCUAUAAACCAUAUCAGAUUAAUAUAGUAAUGGUUUAAGUGCGCUCCCGGACAACGAUAUUUAUUCAUUAAGAGUGCCUGCGUAUUUUCUAUACACUUUCGACUGAAUUGGUGAAUAUGGAGAUUCUAAUUACCUAUAUGUACAAUUUCUCAUUGCAAACCUGUUUCUGUCACCUAACCUAACGUGCCACCUCCGUUCUAAUAAUGUUUUAUUCAUGAGCAAAGAUUUCCGCUGCAAUUUAUAACACUCUGGCGGACCAGUUUGAGUAAUGUUUUCACGAGGGAGAACAAUAAAGAAACAAUGCAAAUGUAGGUAUUUGCAAAUUACGUCCGCUUUAUGUAAUUCUUUCCUAAUUGUAUUAGAGAACAAUUCGCGUUAUUUGCCGAUGUUUAUACUUGUUUACAAUCAGAUUAAUUAAGUCGAUAUCGUUUGGUUAUAGAUGAUCACAAUAGCUCAAAUUACAUUUUCGCUAUAUUACUUUUAAUUACCAGAUAUAUCAUUUUAAUUUCUUGCAUAAAAUAGGGAAUAGAAAUGAAAAUGAAACAUUAAAAAAUUUAAUAAUUUAACACAGUUUGUUACGAGUCACCAUGCAACGAGGAUUAACAUUAAAAUUAAUAGAGAGAUUGAAAACCUCUGUCUAUGAGGUAUGAGACUUCUUUCCAUAAAAGUAGAAUUGCACACAUCGAAAUGUGUGAAGCAAUUAAAACUUUUACGUCAGCUUGCAGACUGUUGAACAAAAAAAAAGGACUAAGUUGGAAACAGGCUGACAAAUCUUAUGAAAAUAUUUCUGUUUCGCGAAUACAUUAAGAACAUAAAUAAAAA
Bombus impatiens (common eastern bumble bee) is the source of this 3656-nucleotide long non-coding RNA. RefSeq lists it as uncharacterized. The record is from RefSeq and is a predicted model, not a curated record. Lineage: Eukaryota; Metazoa; Arthropoda; Insecta; Hymenoptera; Apidae. The transcript has 2 exons.